UACGGAGGGUGCAAACGUUGCUCGGAAUUAUUGGGCGUAAAGCGCACGUAGGCGGCCGACUAAGUCGGGUGUGAAAGCCCUGGGCUCAACCCAGGAAGUGCACUCGAAACUGACCGGCUUGAAUAUGGAAGAGGGUCGCGGAAUUCCCGGUGUAGAGGUGAAAUUCGUAGAUAUCGGGAGGAACACCAGUGGCGAAGGCGGCGACCUGGGCCAAUAUUGACGCUGAGGUGCGAAAGCGUGGGGAGCGAACAGG
This 253-nucleotide ribosomal RNA is filed under the name uncultured bacterium. RNAcentral's name for it is "partial 16S ribosomal RNA". It matches the Rfam family "Bacterial small subunit ribosomal RNA", at positions 524 to 776 of the family's 1533-position model. The record is from RNAcentral.